RNAcentral lists this ribosomal RNA (442 nucleotides) under uncultured bacterium. RNAcentral describes it as "partial 16S ribosomal RNA". It matches the Rfam family "Bacterial small subunit ribosomal RNA", at positions 338 to 795 of the family's 1533-position model. The record is from RNAcentral.
CCUACGGGUGGCUGCAGUGGGGAAUAUUGGGCAAUGGACGCAAGUCUGACCCAGCAACGCCGCGUGAAGGAAGAAGGCUUUCGGGGUGUAAACUUCUUUUAAGGGGGAAGAGCAGAAGACGGUACAUCUUGAAUAAGCCACGGCUAACUACGUGCCAGCAGCCGCGUUAAUACGUAGGUGGCAAGCGUUGUCCGGAUUUACUGGGUGUAAAGGGCGUGCAGCCGGAGAGGCAAGUCAGAUGUGAAAUCAGCGGGCUCAACUCGCGAACUGCAUUUGAAACUGCUUGCCUUGAGUAUCGGAGAGGUAAUCGGAAUUCCUAGUGUAGCGGUGAAAUGCGUAGAUAUUAGGAAGAACACCAGUGGCGAAGGCGGAUUACUGGACGACAACUGACGGUGAGGCGCGAAAGCGUGGGGAGCAAACAGGAUUAGAUACCCGUGUAGUC